CCCGCCAGAGCACUACGAGCCACAGCUUAAAACUCAAAGGACUUGGCGGUACCCUACACCCACCUAGAGGAGCCUGUUCUAUAAUUGAUAACCCCCAAUAAACCUCACCGCCUCUUGUAAUACAGCCUAUAUACCACCGUCACAAGCCCACCUUGUCAAGGAAUAAUAGUAGGCUAAAUAAUUUAAAAUAAAAAAGUCAGGUCAAGGUGUAGCAUAUGAGCCGGAAAGAAAUGGGCUACAUUUUCUUUAAAGAAAAUACGGAAUAUUUCAUGAAAUAAGAUACUAAGGAGGAUUUAGCAGUAAAAAGAAAAUAGAGAGUUCUUUUAAAAUAGGCAAUAAGGUGAGCACACACCGCCCGUCACCCUCUUCAUAUAAAAUAAUAAAUAAAUAAUAUUACUAGAACUUCAGAAGAGGAAAGUCGUAACAUGGUAAGUCUACCGGAAGGUGGCCUUGGAA
This 456-nucleotide ribosomal RNA is filed under the name Isthmura sierraoccidentalis (Sonoran false brook salamander). RNAcentral's name for it is "partial 12S ribosomal RNA". It matches the Rfam family "Bacterial small subunit ribosomal RNA", at positions 868 to 1522 of the family's 1533-position model. The record is from RNAcentral. Lineage: Eukaryota; Metazoa; Chordata; Amphibia; Caudata; Plethodontidae.